UGGGGAGGCAAAGUCAAGUAUGUGAUGGUU
This 30-nucleotide non-coding RNA is filed under the name Homo sapiens (human). Lineage: Eukaryota; Metazoa; Chordata; Mammalia; Primates; Hominidae. The record is from RNAcentral.